Molecule: long non-coding RNA, 3834 nt
Organism: Rattus norvegicus (Norway rat)
Lineage: Eukaryota; Metazoa; Chordata; Mammalia; Rodentia; Muridae
Source: RefSeq, a predicted model, not a curated record
ACCACACACACACACACCACACACACACCACACACACACACCACACACACUCUCUCUCUCACACACACACACACCACACACACCACACACACCACACACACACCACACACACACACACCACACACACACACACACACACACACACACACAUUACAUGAAUAGAAUUUUAAACAUUAAUGGAACCAGGUUCAUUGUGUUCAGUGAGAAAAAUGCAUGCCCCAAAUACUAACAUAUUUACCCCGUCUAUAAGUUCCUCUUUAGAAACUUCUCUGAGUUUAUUUUGGCAUCUAAGAAAUCUUUGCUAGGAUCUUUAAAAUUCUGGCAUUGAGACCAGUGUACAAAGGAGGUAAGUUUUCCCAACAGAUUCCUGAGGUCAUGCUUAAGUUUACUUGGCUCCCAAUACUUGUUGAGAGACAACCUGAAUGGCAGUGAAUGUGGCUGUGUACCCUGCUCCAGUGCCUGGCAGAUAGUUCCUUCUCAACAAAUUCGAGUACCUCUCUGUGUGGAGCAUCGACCCUGAGCCAGGCCAUGCUCACAAGAAAAUUAACGGAGUUCUUAAGAAAUAACAAGGCUUUGGAAAGUUAGCGUAAGUUGAGACACUAAACGCACGGUCUAUCCUUCCUGAUUCAUGGGAGGUGUUGCUGGCUGAUCACCUGAUCGCCAGCCUUUGCCUCAGAGCCUGACCUUAGCUCUAGAAUCCUCUCAGUAAAAGAUGACAAUCAUUCGCUACCUUCCAGGCGGGGAUAAAGAGGCUGGGACUGGAGAAAGUCUUUCUUACUUUGUUUUAAGGGGAGGUUGCAUAGUUUUCGGGUGUCAUCAAAUUCCUCCCACCCAGAGCCUGUCAUUUCACAGGUCCAUCCCAUCCAGCUGCUCUGAGGCAAAGAAGAAUGAGGAAGUGUUUGGGGAUUAAACAGAACAAGGAAGUCCCUGGAGGGCAGCGAGAGGGAGCCUGUCACCUUUGCUGGCAAGAGAGUUUCAUUAGGGCAUAUUUUAGGAUAGAGUAGAUCUGGGCUGGCUUUGGGGGUUUUGUUUAUUUGGUUGGUUUGGUUUUGUGAAGCGGACUCUUGCUUGUGGACCAUGCUGGCCUCACUAUUGUACACUUGCCUCUGCCUCCGACCAGAAUUGUGUCUCCAAAGGACUUUCCCAGAGCCAGUGAGGCGGCUCCACAGGUAAAGGUGCUUGCCGGGGAAGAAAAGAGAAGAGACAGCAGAGCGACAGAAGACAUGGCCUGGAGACACAGGUGCUAGGACCAUCAGGAGAGGAACAAUGGCCAUUUUGCACAAAGUAAAUGGAGCCCCUCGGCGGAGGCGCCUUUCCUUACACCUCCGAUGCGUGCCGCAGAGGAACAAGUGGGCUUCCGUGGCACACGGCAGAUGAGGGCUCGCAGAAAGAGCAUUCGGAAGGUUUCCCAGCACCGUGUAGCCUGUACCGAGGGUAGGGAGGGAUGAGAGGGGCCUCCGCCUUUCUUAGACAAGGAUCCCAGAGGCCAACAGUUCUAGAUUAUCCUGACUAGUUCUCUGCAAGUCCUGAGAGUUCUUGUGAGUGCUAGCUCCAUGUGACCUGACCCUUCUGUGAAGGCCUAUAGUGUUCACCCUGUCCCCGUCUCUGAGACACUUCUCAGUCACAGAAAUAUAAAUACCCUUAUUCAUUGGCUUGGUCCCUCACCAUCCCUGCUUGCCCUAGACUGGGCUCCAGGCACUGGCUCAGAGUCCUUCACUUCAUAAUCUUCUGCUUCGAGGACAUCCUCACUGACCUAAGCUCACUCGGUUUUCAUGUUGGGAUCCAAGGCCCAUGGCACCUCACCCCGCAUUUACCCAGGAACAAUGGCCCAGUAUUGGGUAACUGGGUUCUGGCAAUGACUUUGCAACUUCUUUGAGUAAGAAUUAACUGUCAGCCCAGCCAGUCUUCUAUUGGGUACACAUGUCCCAGGACAUCUGUAGAGACAAGCCCAUACACAUUGAAGAACGUACUCAAAACACUGUGAGUGGUUUUGCAAUUUUUUUUUCUUUUUCUAUUUUUUUCAGAGCUGGGGACGUGGUUUUGCAAUUUUAAAGAGCAUUUAUUUCUAAAGGGACGGUGCGUAUGUGUUUCCUAGCACCGUGUAGCCUGUAUGGAGGGUAGGGGGGGAUGAGAGGGGCCUCCACCUUUCUAAAAGAAUGAGCCCAGAGGCCAACAGGUGCACAUGGGGAUCAGAGGGGGACUUGCAGGAGUCAUUUCUCUCCUUCCAACACAUAGGGGUUUGUAGAUCAAACCAAGGUUGUCAGACUGGGCAUGGCCUUCUCUUCCUAGCCAUGCAGCCUGCCCCUGUGUGACUUUUAAAAAAUAAUUCAGUUUCAUAGUUCCUUAGUGUCAGAGAUGACAGCAUCAUGUCACGAUGUCAAAAGGUUGGGCACACCUGAGCUGACACAUGCUUGCUUAGCCUAGGCCCCCUCUUACUAGCACAGCUUCUUGGAAGCACAGCUACUGCCUUCAUCUGUUUGUCUAUCUGUCUGCCCGCCUGUCUAUCCCCUAUCUAGCUGUCAUGUCCUGCUUCAAUGCAAGCCCGAGGAGGCCUUGCCUAUGCUAGGUAGUGUUUUGUCUACACCUCCCCACCCCCACACUGCCCCGUUCCCAUCCUCGGUCCUUGUCUCUGUAUGCAGAGGGUGAGGAUAGAUUGAUUCCCAUGGUCGUUGGACUCCGUGGCUUCACUAUCAUCUCUGCCCACACCUUUGUAAACAGCGCCUUUCAGAGAUCCCUUCUAAGGGCACCAUCCUGGAAUCCCAGCUAAUGCUGGCAGGGUGUGGGGAGGUGAGCCCUUUUCUUUCUAGUGUAUAUGUAACAGACAUAAGCAUAGGCCAUUUCUUCCCACCGGUCUCCAGUGACACAUUACCUCCUCUCUCAGUGACACAGAAGCUCCCCUCCCAGCUAGCCGGCAGAAGGACAGUCCUAGCCCUGAGACAGUGCUCUGACCCACAGCAGAAUCCUUGGGGGCUCACUAGAAAUGCAAGCAGCUGGGUGCCCUACCUCUGCUGUCUCUGAACAAAGCCCUGAGAUCUGUUCACAUAAACCUUCCAGGUGAUUCUUACCUACCCUAAAAACUGAGGACCAUUUCCUGUACGAUUGGGCAUGCAGGAGAGGGUGAGGCCCCCAGCAGUUGCUCCGGACCCUUCCACGGCCUCCUUUAUCCCUACCUGGCCUUUGUUUCUCUAGGCUGAGCCACAGUUAGGGACACAUCAGAGGUUGAGUGCCGGAUCCUUUGCCCUGACUGAGUGUGGCUGCUGCUCUGUCCGCAGAGCAUAGUAGUGCCUAUAAGAAAGCACGGCUUGGCACUGAAUUGUCAGGUCUCUCUGAGUUCAGACACAGGAGGAGAACAACAUGAAGGGCAACAGACCACAUACCACUCUAAGACACGCUACUUUGGCCCACUGAUGAUUUUGAGACGGAAGCACUUGAGAAGAAAGCAGCCACUGGGAGCAUCCUCUGCCUUCCCUAGGAUCUCUCCCCUUCUCUCCCCCCUUCUCCCUCCCCCCUGCCUUCCCUGGGAGCACUCUGCCUGCUCCCCUCUCCUAAAGUAGGAUAUAAAUGUUCCUCUGUCUCUCGUGCCAUGAUAAAGAUCCAAGCCCCAGGACUGAAGGAGUGGCCUUACGAUCAAUUUGCAUGAACAAUGUAAAGUAACCCUUCCUUUCCUGCCCACACAUAUUCCCUGUCUACACUGGACCACCUCUGGAGGCCCAAACACCUUUUCCUUUGUGUAGUUUCUUCUCUGCAAUCCUUCUCCUUUUGUUGAAAUGUUUAUACUAACUUUCACGUCUCUGUGAAGCCCUGCGUGAAUAAAAGUAUUAUACUGAUAAAGCA